This 255-nucleotide ribosomal RNA is filed under the name uncultured bacterium. RNAcentral describes it as "partial 16S ribosomal RNA". It matches the Rfam family "Bacterial small subunit ribosomal RNA", at positions 793 to 1055 of the family's 1533-position model. The record is from RNAcentral.
GUCCACGCCGUAAACGAUGGAUACUAGCUGUUGGGGGCAACCUCAGUGGCUAAGCGAAAGUGAUAAGUAUCCCACCUGGGGAGUACGUUCGCAAGAAUGAAACUCAAAGGAAUUGACGGGGGCCCGCACAAGCGGUGUAGCAUGUGGUUUAAUUCGAUGAUACGCUAGGAACCUUACCAAGGCUUAAAUGUAGUUUGACCGAUUUGGAAACAGAUCUUUCGCAAGACAAAUUACAAGGUGCUGCAUGGUUGUCGU